GACGAACGCUGGCGGCGUGCUUAAUACAUGCAAGUCGAACGGAAAGGCCCGGCUUUUGUGGGGUGCUCGAGUGGCGAACGGGUGAGUAAAACGUGAGUAAACUGCCCUUGACUUUGGGAUAACUCCAGGAAAAUGGGGCGAAUACCGGAUAGGAGCUCCUGCUGCAUGGGGGGGGUUGGAGAGUUUCGGCGGUUGGGGAUGGGCUCGCGGCUUAUCAGCUUGUUGGUGGGGUAGUGGCUUACCAAGGCUUUGACGGGUAGCCGGCCUGAGAGGGUGACCGGCGACAUUGGGACUGAGGUAAGGCCCAGACUCCUACGGGAGGCAGCAGUGGGGAAUAUUGCACAAUGAGCGGAAGCCUGAUGCAGCAACGCCGCGUGCGGGAUGACGGCCUUCGGGUUGUAAACCGCUUUCGCCUGUAACGAAGAGUGAGUGACGGUAAUGGGUAAAGAAGCACCGGCUAACUACGUG
This 468-nucleotide ribosomal RNA is filed under the name uncultured bacterium. RNAcentral's name for it is "partial 16S ribosomal RNA". It matches the Rfam family "Bacterial small subunit ribosomal RNA", at positions 28 to 507 of the family's 1533-position model. The record is from RNAcentral.